GAUGAACGCUGGCGGCGUGCCUAAUACAUGCAAGUCGAGCGAACGGACGAGAAGCUUGCUUCUCUGAUGUUAGCGGCGGACGGGUGAGUAACACGUGGAUAACCUACCUAUAAGACUGGGAUAACUUCGGGAAACCGGAGCUAAUACCGGAUGAUAUUUUGAACCGCAUGGUUCAAAAGUGAAAGACGGUCUUGCUGUCACUUAUAGAUGGAUCCGCGCUGCAUUAGCUAGUUGGUAAGGUAACGGCUUACCAAGGCAACGAUGCAUAGCCGACCUGAGAGGGUGAUCGGCCACACGGGAACUGAGACACGGUCCAGACUCCUGCGGGAGGCAGCAGUAGGGAAUCUUCCGCAAAGGGCGAAAGCCUGACGGAGCAACGCCGCGUGAGUGAUGAAGGUCUUCGGAUCGUAAAACUCUGUUAUUAGGGAAGAACAUAUGUGUAAGUAACUGUGCACAUCUUGACGGUACCUAAUCAGAAAGCCACGGCUAACUACGUG
Molecule: ribosomal RNA, 497 nt
Filed under: uncultured bacterium
Lineage: Bacteria
Description: partial 16S ribosomal RNA
Rfam family: Bacterial small subunit ribosomal RNA
Source: RNAcentral